ACAUUGGGGCUGUAAGGUAGUGCUUCGCGCACGGGCUUUCCUGUUU
Molecule: non-coding RNA, 46 nt
Filed under: unclassified sequences
Description: ssnA RNA
Rfam family: ssnA RNA
Source: RNAcentral